RNAcentral lists this ribosomal RNA (253 nucleotides) under uncultured bacterium. RNAcentral's name for it is "partial 16S ribosomal RNA". It matches the Rfam family "Bacterial small subunit ribosomal RNA", at positions 524 to 776 of the family's 1533-position model. The record is from RNAcentral.
UACGUAGGUGGCAAGCGUUGUCCGGAAUUACUGGGCGUAAAGCGCGUGUAGGUGGUGGGACAAGUCUGCUGUGAAAGCGCCUGGCUUAACCGGGCGAGGUCGGCGGAAACUGUCCGACUCGAGGACGGUAGAGGGGGGUGGAAUUCCCGGUGUAGUGGUGAAAUGUGUAGAGAUCGGGAGGAACACCUGUGGCGAAGGCGGCCCCCUGGGCCGGCCCUGACACUGAGACGCGAAGGCGUGGGGAGCGAACGGG